This 597-nucleotide long non-coding RNA is filed under the name Physcomitrium patens. Its description in RNAcentral is "long non-coding RNA (PPAT_LNC007750)". The record is from RNAcentral. Lineage: Eukaryota; Viridiplantae; Streptophyta; Bryopsida; Funariales; Funariaceae.
UUGAAUUUCACUCAACUUUAGACCAAACCUAAUUAAAUCUUAAACCCUAAUAAUUCCUAAAUCCUAAGUCAAAUCCUAAAUAAAUCUUAAAUUAAACCCUAUUCUAAAUCCUAAACCCUAAAUCAAACCCUAAACCAAACCCUAUUCCAACCCUAAACUCUAAACCAAACCUUAAAUCAAAUCUUAACCAAACCCUAAUCUAAACCCUAAUCCAAUCCUAAACUCUAAUCCAAAUCCUAAACCAUAAACCAAAUCUUAAAUCAAACUCUAAUCCAAACCCUAAAUCAAACCCUAACCAAAUCCUAAAUCCUAAUCCAAAUCCUAAUCCAAAUCCUAAUCCAACCCUAAACUCUAAUCCAAAUCCUAAAUCCUAAACCAAACCUUAAAUCAAAUCCUAACCAUAUCCUAAAUCCUAAUCCAAACCCUAAUCCAAACCAAAUCCUAGUCCAAACCCUAAUCCAAAUCCUAAACCGAAUCCUAGCCAAAUCCUAAUUCAAAUCCUAGUAAUUCCUAUGACAGAUUUAAACCUCAAUAUCUAAUGAAUAAACCGUUAAUCUCAAUUCAAAAUUUGCAAACUUCUAAAAAAUCAAGGUCAAA